RNAcentral lists this ribosomal RNA (377 nucleotides) under uncultured organism. Its description in RNAcentral is "bacterial LSU rRNA". It matches the Rfam family "Bacterial large subunit ribosomal RNA", at positions 2104 to 2486 of the family's 2925-position model. The record is from RNAcentral.
CUGACUUGACUGAUUGGACUUUACUUGCGCAGUAUAGGUGGGAGGCGUUGAAAAUAUUCUUGCGGGAAUAUUGGAGCCAUCAGUGAGAUACCACUCUUGUAAUGUUAGAUUUCUAACUUUGUAUCAUUAUCUGGUCAAAGAACAGUUUCAGGCGGGCAGUUUGACUGGGGCGGUCGCCUCCUAAACGGUAACGGAGGCGCACAAAGGUUUCCUCUGAACGGGUAGAAAUCGUAUCUAGAGUGUAAAGGCAUAAGGAAGCUUGACUGUGAGACCUACAAGUCGAGCAGGGACGAAAGUCGGUCUUAGUGAUCUGACGGUGCUGAGUGGAAAGGCCGUCACUCAACGGAUAAAAGUUACUCUAGGGAUAACAGGCUGAA